RNAcentral lists this ribosomal RNA (506 nucleotides) under uncultured bacterium. Its description in RNAcentral is "partial 16S ribosomal RNA". It matches the Rfam family "Bacterial small subunit ribosomal RNA", at positions 29 to 523 of the family's 1533-position model. The record is from RNAcentral.
AGUGAACGCUGGCGGUAGGCCUAACACAUGCAAGUCGAACGGCAGCACAGGAGAGCUUGCUCUCUGGGUGGCGAGUGGCGGACGGGUGAGGAAUACAUCGGAAUCUACUUUUUCGUGGGGAAUAACGUAGGGAAACUUACGCUAAUACCGCAUACGACCUACGGGUGAAAGCAGGGGACCUUCGGGCCUUGCGCGAUUGAAUGAGCCGAUGUCGGAUUAGCUAGUUGGCGGGGUAAAGGCCCACCAAGGCGACGAUCCGUAGCUGGUCUGAGAGGAUGAUCAGCCACACUGGAACUGAGACACGGUCCAGACUCCUACGGGAGGCAGCGGUGGGGAAUAUUGGACAAUGGGCGCAAGCCUGAUCCAGCCAUACGGCGUGGGUGAAGAAGGCCUUCGGGUUGUAAAGCCCUUUUGUUGGGAAAGAAAUCCAGCUGGCUAAUACCCGGUUGGGAUGACGGUACCCAAAGAAUAAGCACCGGCUAACUUCGUGCCAGCCGCCGCGGUAA